This is a long non-coding RNA of Micropterus salmoides (largemouth bass), 1173 nucleotides long. RefSeq lists it as uncharacterized. Lineage: Eukaryota; Metazoa; Chordata; Actinopteri; Centrarchiformes; Centrarchidae. The transcript is spliced from 2 exons. The record is from RefSeq and is a predicted model, not a curated record.
CCUCCGAUGUCUGCCGCCUGCUGUGACUCACAUAUAGGGAGAACAGCCAGGGGGGCUGUGAGUUUGAGACUGUAGUUAUUGUUUGUGAAGAACUGCCCAGAAGAGAUCGGCGGGAGCAAGCUGGGAAGCGUGUGGCCCAGUGCAGGCAGAAGUUUUAUGCUGGGAGGUGUGUGGCUCCACUGCUGGGGUAACCUCCAUCACCUCAAACACCAACUGCACAUCUACAAGAUAAAAACAAGGACACUAAGAGACAUGUUUGAUCCACAUGAAGACACAAACUGGAUCAUUAAGAAGGGGAGCAGAUCUGCUGGAGUCCACACUGCAAUGUUUCACUUCAACCACAAGAGGGCACAACAGGCUUUCUGACAGGCAACUAAAUACUUACCAUUGUUGACUUUAUAACACAAUCUAAUGAUUUAGAAGCACGUUUAAGGACAUUUAUAUAAAGAGUAAAUAAACUGAGUCUGCAGGCUGGUAUCCAGAGCCUGAGGUGUUUUGGCUGGACGGUGAGGGAAACCUCCUCUCUGCUGGACCUACAGAGACAGUCAGAGGUCCUGAUGACCUCUAUACUGUCAGCAGCAGAGUGACUGUGGAGAAGAGACACAGCAACAGCUUCACCUGUAGACUCCAGACCAGAGAGAGUCACAUGUUGCACCAUGCUGUUCUGGGAUUUAUAAUUUCAGUUUGUCUUCUCAGUCAUGUCGAGGUAUGUAAGAAGUGUCUUGGCUCCAGGAUUUGUUGGUCUGUUUUUUUUAUUUCAACAUACCAUCACUAUUUGUCUCUGUGAAGGAAGUUAGAGGUACUACGUCACAGGUUACCUCAGGUCAUGAUAGAAUCAAUUGCAGAGCUAACGCUAAGACAAAGGUGACAGCAAGGGACUCAAAUCAAUAGGUCAGACUCUCACUCCUCUCUGCCUGUUUGGUCGACUGACUGACGCAGCUGCCUUGAUAAGGAUUUAUUGCUAUCCAUUUGUUUAUUAACCCAAGGUCGAGGUUAACUUCAUUUUGUUUCAUUACAGACAAACUGACUGGCUCUCUUAUUUGAACACUUAGUGAAUCUCUAUGGGUCUAUGAAGGAUACAUAUCCCCAGACAGGAACUCAUGUUUUCACACUUAGUAUGCUGGGACUGUAUCUCCUCAGCCGAGUUUUGUUAAAUAAUACUGUAUAAGUCUU